RNAcentral lists this unclassified non-coding RNA (20 nucleotides) under Chlamydomonas reinhardtii. Its description in RNAcentral is "small RNA Cre_1983". The record is from RNAcentral. Lineage: Eukaryota; Viridiplantae; Chlorophyta; Chlorophyceae; Chlamydomonadales; Chlamydomonadaceae.
GGUGCGGGUGGGCCGUCGGC